Molecule: long non-coding RNA, 1596 nt
Organism: Equus asinus (donkey)
Lineage: Eukaryota; Metazoa; Chordata; Mammalia; Perissodactyla; Equidae
Source: Ensembl
UAGAAAUACAAUUAAUUUUACAUUGAUUUUUAAGGAGUAACAAGAUUUUAUUUUCAUUUUAAUAACUGAUAUUUAGAUUCGUUUGACACACACAACCACAAUCUGCAGAAGAGUUGUUUCUUCCUUUCCAUCUUUGUUGUUUAUAUUCUUUCUCUGAUUCUGCUGUCCAGGAUCUUCUGUACAGCGUAGAAUAGAAGCAGUGAGAGUUGGCAUUCCUUGUCUUGUUUCUGACUUUAAAGCAAAGGCUUUUAAAUGUCUCACCAUUGAAUAUGUGUGCUCUACGUUUUUUGGUAGAUAUUCUUCAUCAAUCUGAAGAAAUUCCCUUUUCUUCUUAGAUUGCCAACUAUGAAUGUUGUUAUGGGCUGAAGUGCUCCCACCUCCAAAUUCGUAUGUUCAAGCCUUAACUCCCAGUACUUCAGAAAGUAGUUGUAUAUGGAGACAGGGCCUUUAAAGAGGUGAUUAAGUUAAAAUGAGGUCGUUAGGGGAGGUCCUAAGCCAAUCUGACUGGAGCUGGAGCCCUUAUAAGGAGAGGAGAUUAGGAUGCAGAGAGAGCUAGGGACAUCACGGGCGGAACGGGGAGGAACGACCACGUGAGGACACAGGGAGGAGGCAGCUGUCUGUAGGCUAAGGAGAGAGGCCUCAGAAGAAACCAACUCUGCAAUAGUUUUAAGGUGUUAUUUCUUAAUAAAUCUUUUGCACUCCCAACUCCCUCUCAGCAUUUGCUUCCUGGAGAACCCAACCUGCCACAACAGGAAACAUUUAGAUCCUACAAAGUCAGCUGGGAAGAGAAGGAAUUCAGAAAAAAGAAUGAAACACUGAAAACUGUAUAUCAAAUAAGAAGAAUGAUGUGGAUUGUCGACUGGGAGACUAUAAAACCCAUCACUGAGCUCUUCAGGUCACAGAAGAGGGAGCCAGAAAGGGAUUAGAUUACAGAAGAGGAGAAGGCAGUGCGCCUACAGAGACUGGAGUGAUGUGGCCACAAGCCAAGGAAUGCAGACAGUGACCAGAAGCUGGAAAAGACAAGGAUCUCUCCCUUGGGACCUCCAGAGGGAACCAGGCCUGCCAACCCCUUGAUUUUAGCCCCAUAAGAUUCAGGACUUCUGGCUUGCAGAACUGUAAGAGAAUAAAUUUGUGUUGUUUUAAGUCAUUAAAUUUGUGGUAAUUUGUUACAGUGGCAAUAGGAAGCUAAUACAAUCAGCAAUGCAGGACUGUGUCCACGAGAUUAAAUGAUGCUGGGGAGGUAUUAAGAGGGAUUUACACAGCUUCUUGAUAUUUGAUGCUUGAAUAGUAGUUGCUUGUGAGGUCUAGUUAACGUUUUCCUGCUAUAAUUAUUUACUACUUUAAGUGCUGUUUCUUGAUUUUAAAUGCCUUAUCUUGCUUUAAUAUUCUAAGACCCAGCAAACCCUUUUUGGAAGAGGUGAGUUAUCUUCUUAUGGUAAAUCCUUGCUCCCCCAACCUCAUUCUGACUUUUGCUAUACAUGAAUCAAGUUCUGUUACCAGCUUCCUGGCGAGCUUCAUCUUCUAGGACAUAGUGAUACUUUGUUUAGCUUUAGGAAGCAGAGAAGGCGGGUAAAUCAGAGGUGAGGAGUCAAGGCA